AGGAGAAAUCAAAUCCAUAGUGUCUCAAGGAAUCAAAUGGCUUGAGUUUCAAGGACAAGUAAAGUGCAUGGGAGUGACCGUUCUGCUGGCUCAGAGCAUCCCUCAAGUUCCACCCGGCUGGAAAAAAUGCUACCAUUGCUGGGGAGAUGUCACUGUUAGAGAACGGAAAAUUAUUAUUCCAAAGAGUACUGAAGACUGACUGAAUGAGGUCUGGAACAUUAUUGAAAUGACACUUAUGGAUCGAAACAUGUGAAGCUUUCAUCAAAUGUCUCAUAGUUUCAAGGACGGCUGGAUUUAAUCAUUUCCAGGGAUACAUCUAGAGGAAUUCCCAUAACCUGAAUUUGGUGGCAGUGGUGGGAUCCAAAGGAAACUUCUGAGGGCUUUGAGGACAAGAAACACAAGCACUGAUACCCUCAAAUCCUCUGAGUUCUCUUUCUCGCCACUUCCAAAGGCCAUGGGCCAGAUCACUUCAAGGGACCCGCCCUCUUUGCCAAUCUCCCAGCUUUCAAAGGCCUCUGUCCAGCAGUGGAUCAAACACCUAGUAACUCACCCAGGGGCAGAGGUAUUACAUGGAAGAUCUCGAGACAGGCAUGGGAGUGGAUGAUAAGAACCAAUGAGGCGCAUUUUCCAUCGUGAGGAUGUUAC
This is a long non-coding RNA of Balaenoptera acutorostrata (minke whale), 645 nucleotides long. RefSeq lists it as uncharacterized. The transcript has 7 exons. Lineage: Eukaryota; Metazoa; Chordata; Mammalia; Artiodactyla; Balaenopteridae. The record is from RefSeq and is a predicted model, not a curated record.